RNAcentral lists this ribosomal RNA (253 nucleotides) under uncultured bacterium. RNAcentral describes it as "partial 16S ribosomal RNA". It matches the Rfam family "Bacterial small subunit ribosomal RNA", at positions 524 to 776 of the family's 1533-position model. The record is from RNAcentral.
UACGUAGGGGGCAAGCGUUGUCCGGAUUCAUUGGGCGUAAAGAGCGUGUAGGCGGCCAGGUAGGUCGGUUGUGAAAACUGGAGGCUCAACCUUCAGAGGUCGACCGAAACCAUCUGGCUAGAGUCCGGGAGAGGAGAGUGGAAUUCCUGGUGUAGCGGUGAAAUGCGCAGAUAUCAGGAAGAACACGCGUGGCGAAAGCGGCUCUCUGGAACGGUACUGACGCUGCGACGCGAAAGCGUGGGGAGCGAACAGG